CACGUAGGGCGCAAGCGUUGUCCGGAAUUAUUGGGCGUAAAGAGCUCGUAGGCGGUCUGUUACGUCUGCUGUGAAAACCCGGGGCUUAACCCUGGGCUUGCAGUGGAUACGGGCAGACUAGAGUGCGGUAGGGGAGACUGGAAUUCCUGGUGUAGCGGUGAAAUGCGCAGAUAUCAGGAGGAACACCGGUGGCGAAGGCGGGUCUCUGGGCCGUAACUGACGCUGAGGAGCGAAAGCAUGGGGAGCGAACAGG
Molecule: ribosomal RNA, 253 nt
Filed under: uncultured bacterium
Lineage: Bacteria
Description: partial 16S ribosomal RNA
Rfam family: Bacterial small subunit ribosomal RNA
Source: RNAcentral